This is a long non-coding RNA of Helianthus annuus (common sunflower), 330 nucleotides long. RefSeq lists it as uncharacterized. NCBI's taxonomy places the organism in Eukaryota, Viridiplantae, Streptophyta, Magnoliopsida, Asterales, Asteraceae. The transcript has 4 exons. The record is from RefSeq and is a predicted model, not a curated record.
CAACAAAGCGGAACCUGGGAAUGUGGGUAUUAUGUGAUGUACGCUAUGUAUGAUUUUUUGAUGACUUGCAGAGAACAUCUUAUGAUGUACAAUUCUAGGCCCCUUACUCGGUGUGAAAUUGACAAAUUUGUAGAAAACAUAUUAAAGACGUUUGUGCAAUUACAUGUAAAGAAGAGAGCAAAUUCUACCUGACGAUUCACCGGGAUUUUUAAAGAAACAAUUUGCUAUUGGCUUCUAAGAAUCAGGGGUUGAAUUCACAGCAAUAUGGAUGUGUGCUAGAGGGUUCAAGUCAACUUAUUAAGGAUUUCUAGUAGAUGUUAUUUUGCCGAA